AUUAGCUAGUUGGUGGGGUAACGGCCUACCAAGGCGAUGAUCAGUAGCCGGUCUGAGAGGAUGAACGGCCACAUUGGGACUGAGACACGGCCCAGACUCCUACGGGAGGCAGCAGUGGGGAAUCUUCCGCAAUGGGCGAAAGCCUGACGGAGCAAUGCCGCGUGAGUGAUGAAGGAAUUCGUUCCGUAAAGCUCUUUUGUUUAUGACGAAUGUGCAGAUUGUGAAUAAUGAUUUGUAAUGACGGUAGUAAACGAAUAAGCCACGGCUAACUACGUGCCAGCAGCCGCGGUAAUACGUAGGUGGCGAGCGUUGUCCGGAAUUAUUGGGCGUAAAGAGCAUGUAGGCGGUUUUUUAAGUCUGGAGUGAAAAUGCGGGGCUCAACCCCGUAUCGGCUCUGGAUACUGGAAGACUUGAGUGCAGGAGAGGAAAGGGGAAUUCCCAGUGUAGCGGUGAAAUGCGUAGAUAUUGGGAGGAACACCAGUGGCGAAGGCGCCUUUCUGGACUGUGUCUGACGCCGAGAUGCGAAAGCCAGGGUAGCGAACGGGAUUAGAUACCC
This 556-nucleotide ribosomal RNA is filed under the name uncultured bacterium. Its description in RNAcentral is "bacterial SSU rRNA". It matches the Rfam family "Bacterial small subunit ribosomal RNA", at positions 240 to 787 of the family's 1533-position model. The record is from RNAcentral.